UGGCAUAUAGAUGUUAGGCAGCAAGGCAGCUGUUGAAAAAAAAGAAUUCGAAGAAGCAGAUUCCGUGGAUGGAAGAACCAAGGUCAAACAUAGAAAUCACAAGGAUGGCUAGCACAGGAAUUGAAAAAAAUCAUAUCGGUGAGGUACAGAGCAACAUAAGAAAGAAUGGAAUGAGAAA
Long non-coding RNA from Callorhinchus milii (elephant shark), 178 nucleotides. RefSeq lists it as uncharacterized. The record is from RefSeq and is a predicted model, not a curated record. The transcript is spliced from 3 exons. NCBI's taxonomy places the organism in Eukaryota, Metazoa, Chordata, Chondrichthyes, Chimaeriformes, Callorhinchidae.